This 432-nucleotide ribosomal RNA is filed under the name uncultured bacterium. Its description in RNAcentral is "bacterial SSU rRNA". It matches the Rfam family "Bacterial small subunit ribosomal RNA", at positions 8 to 488 of the family's 1533-position model. The record is from RNAcentral.
AGAGUUUGAUCCUGGCUCAGGAUGAACGCUGGCGGCGUGGAUAAGGCAUGCAAGUCGAAAGGGUUUAGACCCUUGGCAAACGGGUUCGGAACGCGUAGGUAUCUACCUUGAAGUCGCGAAUAACCUGGAGAAAUCCAGGACAAUACGCGAUGUGCUCUACGGAGUAAGAUUUAUCGCUUCAAGAGGAGCCUGCGUCCUAUCAGCUUGUUGGUGAGGUAAAAGCUCACCAAGGCGAUGACGGGUAGGGGGUGUGAGAGCAUGACCCCCAACAUUGGCACUGAGACACUGGCCAAACACCUACGGGUGGCUGCAGUCGAGAAUAUUCCACAAUGGACGAAAGUCUGAUGGAGCGACGCCGCGUGCAGGAAGACGGUCUUCGGAUUGUAAACUGCUUUUCUCUGGGAAGAACUUCGGUGACUUACCAGAGAAUAA